UACGGAGGGUGCAAGCGUUAUCCGGAUUCACUGGGGUUAAAGGGUGCGUAGGUGGGUUUGUAAGUCAGUGGUGAAAUCUCCAAGCUUAACUUGGAAACUGCCGUUGAUACUAUAAAUCUUGAAUGUUGUGGAGGUGAGCGGAAUAUGUCAUGUAGCGGUGAAAUGCUUAGAUAUGACAUAGAACACCAAUUGCGAAGGCAGCUCACUACACAAAGAUUGACACUGAGGCACGAAAGCGUGGGGAUCAAACAGG
RNAcentral lists this ribosomal RNA (253 nucleotides) under uncultured bacterium. RNAcentral describes it as "partial 16S ribosomal RNA". It matches the Rfam family "Bacterial small subunit ribosomal RNA", at positions 524 to 776 of the family's 1533-position model. The record is from RNAcentral.